AAAAGUGAAAUAACGGAAUUGGCUGUAGAUGAUACAAAGCAUGAGAGAGAGAUGUUUUGGACCACUGUCACUCACCUGUCAAAGAGCAUGGGAGUUUUUCUAUUUCUGCUGAUUCUGGCAUUUCUCAAGAGCCAUAGUGCAGAAGGAACGGGAUGUUUGAAUGGCUUAACUUCAUCACCCGCAUCCACUUGUGUUGACAACAGAACGUGUGUCGAUGUCGCUUGUGGGCAACAUGAAACAUGCGUAAAUGAGAGUGGCACCUUCAAGUGCAAGUGUUCCGUCGGUUUCACCUACAAAUCCUCCAAGAUGGACAAGUGUG
Esox lucius (northern pike) is the source of this 319-nucleotide long non-coding RNA. RefSeq lists it as uncharacterized. The record is from RefSeq and is a predicted model, not a curated record. The transcript is spliced from 3 exons. Lineage: Eukaryota; Metazoa; Chordata; Actinopteri; Esociformes; Esocidae.